GCGCCCAUAGCUCAGCUGGAUAGAGCAACGGCCUUCUAAGCCGCAGGUCGGGGGUUCGAAUCCUCCUGGGCGCG
Molecule: transfer RNA, 74 nt
Filed under: Candidatus Odyssella acanthamoebae
Lineage: Bacteria; Pseudomonadati; Pseudomonadota; Alphaproteobacteria; Holosporales; Candidatus Paracaedibacteraceae
Description: endosymbiont of Acanthamoeba sp. UWC9 tRNA
Rfam family: tRNA
About the family: Transfer RNA (tRNA) molecules are approximately 80 nucleotides in length.
Source: Rfam by way of RNAcentral